AGCCUCCCAAAGUGCUGGGAUUACAGGCGUGAGUCACCGUGCCCAGCUGUUUUUUUAAUUAGUUGUCAAUUAUUUCCAACUUGUAAAAAUUAGGAGAUUCAACACUACUUUCUACAUUUUUUUAUUCUUUUGCAAAAAUCUGGGAAAUCUGACAAUGCUGGGCCUGCUGUCCAAGAGGGCAGAUGUGGGCAGGAGCUGGGUAGCAGCUGCCACUUCUUCAGGAAACCUAAGUCCCAGUUGUCAACAGUUCCUCCCAGCCUGCUGAUUUUGUGACCACUUGAGUUUGGGGCCUCUGAACUAGAGAUUUCUUUUUUCUUUUUUUUGGAGAUGGAGUUUCACUCUUGUUGCCCAGGCUGGAGCGCAAUGGUGCGAUCUCGGCUCACUGCAAUCUCCGCCUCCCAGGUUCAAGUGAUUCUCCUGCCUCAGCCUCCCAAGUAGCUGGGAUUACAGGCACCCAUCACCACACCCGGCUAAUGUUUUAGUUUUUUGCAGAGAUGGGGUUUCACCAUGUUGGCCGGGCUGGUCUUGAACUCCUGGCCUAAGGUGAUCCACCCACCUCGGCCUCCCAAAAUACUGGGAUUACAGGUGUGAGCCACUGAGCCUGGCUGAUUUCAUUUUGUUUUAAGAGAUUUGGCCCAUGAGCCCCUAUCAUGUGUCAUGCACUCCCCUGGGGAGAAACAGUGAAGCAGACAGAGGUGACACGACCCUUCCCCUCUUGCAGUCACAGGUUGACUAUAUGCAGAGGUCUCUCAAAGUGUGCCUCAUGGGUCCCUCAGAAUCUGGUUAAGAUGCAGAGAAAUGCCUGGGCCCCAACCCAAAUCUGCUAAAUCAGAUCUUCCGGGGGUGGAAUCUGGAAAUCUCCAUUUUUAGCAAGCUCCCUGGAGGAUGACCUUAGCCACAUGAAAGCUCUUGCAGCCGUGGUGGAAAGGAUCAUCCACGGUGACUUGCAGCUGUGAGUCCAUGAGUCUAGUACACUCUCUCAGGCCUUGAGCGGGGAAGGAAUCAGGGCUUACUGAGCCACCCCCAUCUUCCAGGCACUGUGCUAAGUCCUUUCCAUACCUCAUUUCAUUUCAUCCUCGCAAUAAACCAGGUACUGUUAUUACCACCGUGAAACAGGUGGGGAAACUGAAGCAUGAGGAGCUUGAGUAAUGUGUGUUAGAUCACGCAACCAGUAGUGGCAGAGCUGGAAUUCCGACCUGGGACUGCCUCCAAAGUUCUUGCGUAAGAAUACAGCUGCUACACUUGCCCUUCUUCAGCUGAGACCAAGGAGGGAAUUCUGAUUGAAAGCAAACCAGGGAGGAAAGAUGCACUAGCACUGACCUGUAACAGGUCAAUCUGUGCCAUGGCAUGGCGAGACGAAGUGGAGAACCCAUGUCUCAUUGGAAUCCCGGAUCAUCGUCUCCACGAAGGCUGUCUUCUGCAGCACUCCAGGGACUCACGGCUCUGGGCUUAUUGCUCAGUGUCAUGUGACAGAUGUUUUAGUGUUUAGUUGGAACCCUGGAUCUGCAGCAACCAUCUUGCUACCAACUUGAGGGUGAAGCCAGCCGUAAGAAUAGCAGGCCGGAAAGAUGGAAGAAACCUGGCUUUCCAAUGUCAUCAUUUGGUUGCUGAAUCAAUUGUACCUAAAGCUCACUCUAUCUGUUUUACCUUGAGUUAGGGUUGCCGUUGCUUGCAGCUAAACGCAUCUUCUUUUUUUUUUUUUUUUUUUUUUUUUUUGAGAAGGAGUCUUACUCUAUCACCCAGGUUGGAGUGCAGUGGCGCGAUCUCAACUCACUGCAACCUCCACCUCCCAGGUUCAAGUGAUUCUUGUGCCUCAGCCUCCCACGUAGCUAGGAUUACAGGCGUGAGCCACCACGCCCGGCUUAUUUUUGUAUUUUUGGUAGAGAAGGGGUUUCGCCAUGUUGCCCAGGCUGGUCUUUAACUUCUGGACCUUAGGUGAUCCACCCGCCUCAGCCUCCCAAAGUGCUGGAAUUACUGGCAAGAUCCACCACACCCAGUCUAAAUGCAUCUGAAUAUAACAUGACUCUCCUAGAGAAAAACCUGGAACCCAGAGCACCUGAAUAGAAACUCUUAAUUAUAUCAAUGAGGAAUAGUUAACUUAGCCAAGUUUCCAUUGAAUAUGAAGAACUGUAAAAUAAUGUCAGUUCUAGCCAAGAACUGAAAAGUAAUGUCAGUACUCUAUAAUGUGUAAUUCAUAGUUGCUACAUGUAAUCAGGCUUGGCCAAUUGUUUCCAGGAAGAUGGCACCCUCAUUUCUGAAUGAGGAUGACCAUUUUCCACUAAUCCAGAGGUAAAACAGUCAUUGUAACUGCACUGAAAUUUGCUGUAUCAAGUGAGACAUGAAGGUAAAUGUCAUUGGCCCAGAGUAAUUAGUCUUUUCCAGUGCUUAAAGGAAGGGAGAGAAACUAAUGCCUAUUGAGUGCCUUCAAAGCUUCUGCAAUGUGCUGGUACCCACAUGUUUCCAAUUAUUCCUCACAACACUAUGGAGAGGUUAUUUUGCCUGUUUUGCUGAUCAGGGAACUGAGACUCACAGAGUGACACCAACCCAUCAGUAUUUCAGGUUUCUGGGGAGGGUCCAGAGAGCAAGGGGGAAGCUGCUAAUUGCUUGUUGGUUCAAGAGAAAUGUUAUCUCAGUAGACUAACGUAUGGACUUUCUGAUGUCAGAAAAUGCAAACUAUGUAGUGUAACCUGUUUGCCAUUUUUUCUUUGUAUCCGCAAACUGACAGCAAAAUAUAUUGCACAAGUAUUAUAAAUCUGUUCAGUUCAAGUGCCAGAGAACAUUUACUCUGCUUCCUUCAUGAGUGGUGAGCAUGCCUGCUCCCCUACAAACUCACCAGCUCAGAGCAUUAUCAGGCUUCUCAUCUCUGCCAACCUGCCGCUGAGGUGGGGAUUAUUAGCACGCCCUUUGCAGAUGAGGAAACUGAAGCCCAGGGAGCUUUGGCAACCUGCCCAAGGUCACACAGCCAGUGAAGGAAAGGGCUGAAAUCAAACCAGGCCUGUCUGACUGCAAGGCAGGGUCUUACGGCUGCCUCCGGUGGGUAGGUCCGGGACCCAGCUGGUUUCCGUCCUGUGGCUCAGGUGCGAGGAGAGCCUCCCUGGGCCACCUGGGGAAGUCUGACUGACGUGCCAGAUCCUCACAGAACAAAGGAGAGAAGGGGACUCCUGAGAGGCCCCAGCAGCGUUAUCUGGGCAGAGAAAGUGAGUUUGAAGACCUCACACUCCAUCUGGACUUUAUCAGCUCCUUUCCUGGGUAGGAUUACAGUAAACGAUUAUCUACAGAUCUGGAGCCAGCAAGGACUUUGAAGGCCCCAAUUGCCAAGGGGGUGGUGAAAUGGGGGAAGGGCUGGAGACGCAGGAGAUGAAAAAGCAGUGCAGGCAUCUUAUCUUCCUCCUGAAAUCAAACAGGCUGGGCCUGGGCAGGGUGGGAGAGGUACCCUGUCUGUGAGGCUGACAGUCUCUAGCCCUGGCUGGCCACAAAAGAUACAGAGAGAACCAGAUGAAGGCCCUUCACUGUCUUCUCCUGAUCCUCUCUCCCUCCUCCUGGUUUCUUUUAUUAAUUCAUUCAUUCACUUGCAUCUUUCAGCCUGUUAGUUACAAUAUCUGACACGCUCUGAGCUCUCCCGCCAAGCCAAGUGCUUAGCAUCCAUCCCCUCAUGUGGUCUUCACCAUGACCUUCUGGGAGAGGUGCCAGAAUUAGGCCCAUUUUACAGAUGAGGAAAAUGAAGCCCCAGAGGCUAAGUAAUAGGAUGAGCCUGGGAUCACACAGCUAGUAAAUGGUAGGGUCUGGAUUCUCUUAAACCUGCAUACAUUUAUUCUUCCAUUUCCCCCUGCCUGCCUGCUUUCCUCUCAUAAUUCAUUUAUGUAUUCAGUUUUUCAUAUUCCCAUUGCUUGUUCAUUUUGAAGUUCCUUCCCUUCUUGCUUAUGCAUUUCUUCUGUCCCUUCCUGUCUUCCUCCUGUCUCUUCCUUCCUUCCAUGACCACAUCCUGAGCCUACUGUGUGCCCUGUCACCCUGCCAUCAGGACAUGGGGCUCCUGACAGAUGACUGCUGGGGAGGGAUAUGUGAGACCACCUCCUCCAGGGUCGACCUCCUCAAAUGAGGCUUUUGGGCUGUGCCUCCCUAUGCCUGAUUUGUCCCAGUGUUUGCCAAAAAUUUUAGGCUUUGAUAAUCUUGUGAAGAUGUUUCAGCCAAGCAAGUCUUGAGACUCCAUUGGUGUGGGAGUAAAAGUGGCCUGGGGAAGCCACUUCUUGCAGUUUCCCCUAAGCAAGGCUCUUUCUGUCCUUGCUGUUCUGACAUCCACUCCCUCAGCAAACAUCAUUAAGGACCUAUCAUGGGCAGCCCCUGGGGCCCACUCCCAUCCUCUAGCUGUCUCGAUUUCAUACCUCCCUAGCUCUAGAAAAUUCACUCCUAGAAGGCAGGGAAUUGGCGUCAAGGAACGGGUUCACAGCCUUGGACUCCUUUAUUCAUUCAUCUUUUUUCCUAGCACCUAACACAGGGCCUGGCUUAGACUGAAGGCUAAUAAAUACAGGAUCAAAAGGCAGUGAACCAUCAUUCUCUGUCACUCUCCAGGAGCUGGCCCACUCACCGUGCUAGACAUUGUACUGGAUAUAGUAGUCCCGCAUCGUUGUAUCACUCUCAUUUCUAGCUGGAGAAGUACCCCUCCUUUUCUAGGUGCGGUUAUGGGGUCGCUAUCACCUGAAGUGCCCGCCACUCACCCUGUAGUCUUGGGUGGGUAUGUGAUCUCAGCUAAAACAGUCGAGGUCUCUCUCCCUGGGCUUGGAAUUGUAAACCAAGUGAUGCAGAGAAAGAAAAAACACAAGCCCUUGGAGCCCAUCACAUCCCAUCACCGAUGAGGCUGUCCAGCGGUUCUGGCCCUCAGAAGCCCCAGAGAACUCCAGUUUCUGUCCUUUUCCGAGUGUGGCUUUCUGUCCACUUUAUGGCUGCUCAACCUCCCUCCAGUAUGCCCCUUCUCCCCUUAGUCAGUGAAUGUCUGUUUCUGUGCUUGCAAAUGAUAAAUCCUAAAUGAUGCCCCAGGACAUGGUUUCCAAGGCCAGCUAUUGGAGCCUCACCAGAAAUGUUCAUUCUGCCUCAUCAGUGUCUUGGCUAUUGCCUUUUUGGAACUGCUCUGACCUCUCCUCUUUCCAUCCUGCAGCACCCCCUCUCUCAGCACCAGGGAGCUCCUCCAGGAGCACUUCCUCCCAUGUCUGUGUUCGCCGUUAAGACUGGACACACCAGGAUGAUCUUUCAACUUUGGGUCCAAAGGCCCUCAGUGGAUGUAAAAUAGGUACAUGAGGCCUUGAACUGAACAUUUUUUUCACUUCACCAUAACCUGGAUUUUCCCAGUUUAGGAGCAUCUGUUUGUCUUGAUAACGUUUGGAACAAAGUGAAAAAAACUGGACUUUGAAGAGAACUUCAGGUGAAUUACACAUUUAAGUCAGAUUUUCCAUGUCUUUGUCCCAUGUUCAGUAAUUCAAGCUGUUAGGAGCCCUCAACUUUGUACAUAUAUUUCCUUCCUAUCUCUGCCUCUUCAUACCUGGUACUUACCGUGGAAUUUGAAAUCUUUCUGUGGCUGUAAGCAAGAAAGGCGGGAAAAAUACAAGAAGUUAAAGGGGAUUGGAUGGUUCAGAUUUGGUUGAUGAAUGAGAUGGUUUAGAGGCAUGUCUUGUAAGAGAUAAUUUUCUAUGUGCCAGGUACUAUUUAUGAAUCCCACAUUAUCUUAUUAAUGCUCACAACAAGCCUUGGGGGUAAAUAGAUUAUCAUCGCCAUUUCACAGAUUAGGAAAGUGAGGUUUCAGCAGUCAAUUGCUCAAAGGUCUCCUGCUAGUGAAACAGUCGUCUAUCCAAACAGUCUGAAUGACCUGUGCACAUGGGAACGUGCCACGCAAGCCAAGGGCAGGAAGGAUGAGAAGAGGUGGGCAGAAAGCCAGCUGGGAUGAAUGAAGGACCUACUACGUGCAGGCCCAGGGUCAGACAUUUUAUUUUCUUGAUUGCACUUCAGCCUCCCAGCAGCCCUGUUUUACAGAUGAAGAAACUGAGGCUCAAAGAGCUGGAGAAAGUUGUUGCCCAGGGUCCUGUGGAGAGAAAACUCAAGCUCCGGCUGUUCCACUACUCUGGGACACCACCCCCAGUGGGAACCCCACUUUUACAAGGAUUCGAAGGUAGGUGAGGACUUAUCUCCUGAAAUAAUUAGUAUACUUACUUUUUUGUUACAUAUUCCCACUAAAGGUUUGCAGCCCCACCCAGCUUGAAUAUCAGGAGAAUGGCAACAAAAUCUGGUUCAAGGCUCACAGAAUCCACGAAAGAUGCCAGCCCCUCCACGGUUGGAGAGUGAUUCACAAAUGUGUCUUUAAGGACUUUCCCAGGCCGGGCACAGUGGCUCACACCUGUAAUCCCAGCAAGCCGAGGCGGGAGGAUCACCUGAGGUCAGGAGUUUGAGACCAGCCUGGCCAACAUGAUGAAACUCCGUCUCUACUAAGAAUACAAAAAUUAGGCAGGCGUGGUGGCAUGCACCUGUAAUUCCAACCACUUGGGAGGCUGAGGCAGGAGAACUGCUUGAACCGGGGAGGCAGAGGUUGCAGUGAGCCAAAAUCACACCGCUGCACUCCAGCCUGGGCAACAGAGUGAGACUGUGUCUCAACAACAACAACAACAACAACAAACAGAAAAAAAAGAAAAAAAAAGGACUUCCCCAUCUCAGAGCAGAAGACAAACCCAGGUGACUCUGAGUCUGCACAGAAAAGGCAAGGGUGACCAAGAGUGAGGAGGUUAAGCACCUGUUGCUUUCAGCUCAGGUCCUGACCACAGCCCUUAAUAAGGACAAACCUCUCAGAUUGCUGCAGCCUUCAAUACGCAUGUUCCUAUAGUGCCUGGCCAAUAAGAAGUACUUACACAGUAGCUGUUAUUAUUGUAAAGGCGGCGCAAAGAGUUAAGGAAGGCCGGUAGCUAAGCUGAAUCUGAGUUGCAUCUUGUAGGCCAUGGUAUGUGAAAGAAGGGCAGGCCAGGAGGGGGAACAGAGUGAGUAAAGCCCAGAGGCAGGGGCAUGGAAAAGCAGGGAGGAGUUAAGCUUGGGGCAAAUAUCCUAAAUGAAGGGGAAUAAAAGGCAACAAAGUUUGCAAGUUGCACCGGGGCCACAUCUUGGAGUUGUUUGAGAACAUGUCCCAUGAGGCUGCAUUUAACACCAGCCACUCGCGCUUCCACCCCAACAGCAGGAGUAUCACAUCCACAUGCCAUGUGCGCAAUUCCUUACUUUAUAUCCUCCUCUAAGAUAAAUCUACCCUCCCUCUUUUUUAAGCAUAAGAGCAUUUAUUCUAAAAGGAAACUUUUGGCCAGGCAUGGUGGCUCACGCCUGUAAUCCCAGCACUUUGGGAGGCCUAGGCUGGUGGAUCAUGAGGUCAGGAGUUCGAGACCAGCCUGACCAACAUGGCAAAACCCCGUCUCUACUAAAAAUACAAAAAUUAGCCGGGUGUGGUGGCACGUGCCUGUAGUCCCACCUACUCGGGAGGCUGAGGCAGAAGAAUUGCUUGAACCCGGGAGGCAGAGGUUGCAGUGAGCUGAGAUCACACCACUGCAGUCCAGCCUGGGCAACAAAGCAAGACUCUGUCUCAAAAAAUAAAUAAAUAAAUAAAUAAAAGGAAACUUUUGCUCACUAAUGGAAAUGGAAGUGGCACCUGUCAUAGGCAGAGACAAAUUGUCAAAGUAAACAACUUUUAAGUCUCACUAGACACUCCUGCCCCAGCAGAAUCUGGUCAAAAGCUAGGUCAGCAAAUUUCAGAGGCAGUAUUAAGGACAAAGUAGCAACAAUCCAAACUUUCUUUUUAGGUACUCAGAAAGACUAACAGAACAUUGAGAAGGGGUGUUAGUCACAUCCCCAAACUGCAAGAGGCCAGAAGAUAGCGAGGGGUCUUUCAAACAAUCUAAAAUCUGAGACCCCAAUGUUGGAAAAGAGAAGGAAGGGAAUGGGUUAAAGUGCCAGUUGCUCCCUCCUCAGAUAGCAGGGCCCUGGACAUCCCUAAGAUGUCCCCUUCCUCUUUCAUCCUUCCCUGAUUCCAGCCUCCCCACCUUCCCCAGGCUGGCUUGCCUGAUUUUGUGAGCUCUUCAGCCGGCUUAAAGUGUAAUUCUGUAUUUCUGAUUCUAUCUGUGUUCCAGGAGGCAUUAUCUCUAUCUCUGUAAUAGCUUCUCAAGCAAAAACAUUUUACUGGGUAAAAGAGCAAGGAAUAGGCAUGACCUGAUGCUGAUUUAAAGCAAGAUUCCAGGCAAGCCCCAGAGCCCUCUCUAAGUAGCCUCUCUCCUUUCUGCUGUCUAACGAAACAGCUCCUAAUGGCCAUGGUAUCAUAUUGUAUCUCAUAUUUACACAGCACUCGGCACACAUUCACUUAUUCAGCGGACAUCCAUUGAGGGCCUAUUAUGUGCCAAGUCUUCUGGGUGCUGGCAAUCAACAGUGAACAAAGACCCGUGAGGUUCUUGCUCUACUUGGGAAAACAGGCAAUAAACUCUGAAACAAGUAAAUAAACACGAUCAUGAUGAGGCUACUGAAAAAGCAAUGUGGUAGCAGCGUGACGAUGAUGUGCCAUGGGAGACAGGUGGCAACAUCAAAAAAGGUAGACUGCCCCCGCCCUCCGAAGAGGUGGCAUGUGAGCAAGAAGGAGCCAGCCAAUGGAAAGCUCUGAAAGCAGAGUCUUUUAAAAACAAAACAAAAUCAAAAAACAAAAACAGGGCUCAAAGAAGAUGUCUGCACUUCUGCCAGACGGGGCAGAAAGAAGAUAAUGGUGCUCCAAUCAGGGAGACUGUGGAGGCAGUACAGGUGACAGGAGGCAGGGAAACGAGAAUUAGCCAGAAACACAGUAGGUUUGCCAUGUCAGUCAGACACUCGAGUGUGUUCUUGCUCUUCUCAACAAACCAUAAAGUAAGGACGAUCAGUGUUUCCCAUUUUACAGACAGGAAAACUGAAGCUCGGGAAGGCUACCCAGGUACAUAGGGGCAGUGGUGGGAUGUGAAUCUAUGGUUUAGGAUGCUGACGCCAGCACUAUCCCACCUGCCUCAUGGUAGAGCAGUGUCCAGACACAGAGGUGGCAAUGCAGCAGCUCAAGUGGCAGCUCCAGCACUGCAUGUGUUUUGUCCGUUCUACAUGGGUUUGGAAAAACUCACCUGAGCUAGCGAUCAACUCUUAAAUAUAACCCUUCACUCAAAAAUCUGGCUGUCUAUCUGAAAAUAUUUGAAGACCUGGUCAUAGUGGGACCAUGAUUUGAAUGACAACAAUGGGCUGGAGCAGUAUCUCUGCCCACCUUGAGAGAGGGAUGGGCACUCUGUUUUUCCACAGCCCCCACCUCUCCCGAUUGCUUGCCCCGGCCCCUUCACUCCUCUCCAUUGCAUUCAUGGCCUCCCUAUGCAUUCGGCUUUGAGGCCCCAGCUCUCUAGUGAUGAAAUAUGUGGGAAGAUCCACAAAGCCCAGCAAACGAGGAGUGACCAGAGGAAUUGAGUUACAGUUCCUCCCUAGAACACUUUCCUGCCUUUCUGAUGUAAUCACUUUGCGCAAACAGUAGGAAAUGUUCAGAAGAGCUGCUACAAGGCGGUGAUUAAGAGGUCAGGCCUGGUUCUUAAUUCUAGCUUCAGCAAGUCCUAUCUGUGGGACUUGGGCAAGUUCUAAAAACCUCAGUUUCUUUAUCUGUAAAGCGCAAAUAAUAAUAAUGCCUACUUUAUAAGUAGGAUUAGGGGAAACAGUAAUUUAGGAAACGUGCUCGGAAUGAUGCUAGUUUCGUGGUGAGUAUCCAAUAGAUGGAGCCGUAGUUGUCUUUCUCAUCUUAGAAAGCAGCUGAUUCUCCCAUGUCAUGACAGUGUUUGUGCAACUCCUCUGGAAUUCUCUCCUUUCUUCCUUAGGAGAGCAUUUUCUCAAUGUUCCUCUUUAUCUUUCUCCAAACACAAAGACAAAUCUAAGAGGAAAAAAAAAAUCUUCAAACUGGGUCGCAGAUACUCAGCUUCUUGUCAAUUCUCAUUAGGGUUUAAAAGCUCAGUCUCCUGCAUAUGCCCAAAGAUAAAGCAAUCCCUUCCAUUCCUAAUUCAAAGAACCAAAAAAAAAAAAAAAACAUGUGGUUGGACCUGGUUGAAUAUAUAAACUUUUGGGGAUGGCAAUAAACUAGGCAAAGUCCUGGUUAUUCAAUUUAUUAGCUCAGUUGUGCAACGUAGAAAUAAACAGAAAAUUACUUAUAAUUUUACAAUAAUAUUCAUUUAGAAACAUCACUUUUCUCCAUAUACGUGUUGCAUGAAACAGCUUUACUCCAUUCUUUGCCACACAUAAGGAGGCCGAGGAGGGAAGAUGGCAUGAGGCCAGGAAUUCAAGGCUGCAGUGAGAUAUGAUUGCACCACUACACUUCAGCCUGGGCGACAGGGUGACACCUCAUCUCUAAAAAAUAAAAUAAAAUAAUAAAAAAAUUUUGGAAAUUUUUAAAGCGUCUGCUCCACAGAGCCACAUUUUGCAUUGUGCAGUUUCGUUUUUCAGACCUUUCUCCUCUCUUCCAUCUGACUGCCCUGAGAUCCAGCACUUUUUGCUUCCACAUCUGAGGCUGUCGCUGGAAACAAGGUCUCCAUCCCAUUUGCAUGACAUGAGCACAGUCGGGAUUUGUAUUCAUUCUGUGGGUGUGUGUAUAUUCGUGCUCUCCACAAAAGAACCACUCAGCAUUGCUUUUUCAAGCCGAGCUUUAAAAGGCUUAUUUGCCAUGACAUCCAGCACUUGUAAUUUGAGGUCAUACCCCGAGGAAGAAUUGCUAAAUCUGUGUAAAAUGUUUCUGACUCCUUUUCUUACAGAUUCUGUCAGAUUAUCUCUUUAAGAAUUCUAAGCCCAUGUUGUUUGAGGUGGUUUUAGGCUAAUGUACAUUCCCCAAACAUUUCUUUGCUGUUCAAAAUAAAGCAAUUGAGAGGGUUCUUCGUAAAAACGAAGCACUUUGCAAGAGCUCAAGACAAAAGACAACUCCCUUUUUUCUAGGGGGUAAUUUUGAGGAUAGAAGAAAAACAGUGUUCUAUGUAAGCCUGUACAAUCACGAGAGCCAUUUGCUGAGGGCCAUGUGUGCGAGUGGUUCGUGUGCUCUCCACCUCCUCUUCUUCCUCCCAGGGGAUGAAAUGAGGCCCAACAAGUGCAAGACAUGGACCAUGUCAGCUCGUGACAGAACAGGGCUGGAACCCAAGUCUGCUAGGCUCAGCCCACUCCCUCCCUGUGCCGAGUUGACAUAUUCUACUUACAUUAAGCCAAGUGCUGGGCUCUGAUUAUACAAAAUCAGAUAAGCCAGGACCCUGUGUUCAAGGAGCUCCCAGGCCUGCUGGGGUGAGAGUGGAGCAGCAAGGAUGGAAGUGCACAGAUGCAAGGGUGGCCAGGCCUAUGGGGAUACAGGCAAGGGAGGCUGAGUGUU
This 11392-nucleotide long non-coding RNA is filed under the name Homo sapiens (human). RNAcentral's name for it is "HSALNT0098249". Lineage: Eukaryota; Metazoa; Chordata; Mammalia; Primates; Hominidae. The record is from RNAcentral.